AAGAUAUUAGAAAAGUCAUUUCAUAGCCUUGUCAAAGCUAAAUCAUAGGCUAAACCCCUAUAUAUCUUA
RNAcentral lists this transfer RNA (69 nucleotides) under Macaca sinica (toque macaque). Its description in RNAcentral is "tRNA-Asp". The record is from RNAcentral. Lineage: Eukaryota; Metazoa; Chordata; Mammalia; Primates; Cercopithecidae.